GACGAACGCCGUCGGCGUGCUUAACACAUGCAAGUCGAACGGAAAGGCCCUGCUUUUGUGGGGUGCUCGAGUGGCGAACGGGUGAGUAACACGUGAGUAACCUGCCCUUGACUUUGGGAUAACUUCAGGAAACUGGGGCUAAUACCGGAUAGGAGCUCCUGCUGCAUGGUGGGGGUUGGAAAGUUUCGGCGGUUGGGGAUGGACUCGCGGCUUAUCAGCUUGUUGGUGGGGUAGUGGCUUACCAAGGCUUUGACGGGUAGCCGGCCUGAGAGGGUGACCGGCCACAUUGGGACUGAGAUACGGCCCAGACUCCUACGGGAGGCAGCAGUGGGGAAUAUUGCACAAUGGGCGGAAGCCUGAUGCAGCAACGCCGCGUGCGGGAUGACGGCCUUCGGGUUGUAAACCGCUUUCGCCUGUGACGAAGCGUGAGUGACGGUAAUGGGUAAAGAAGCACCGGCUAACUACGUGCCAGCAGCCGCGGUGAUACGUAGGGUGCGAGCGUUGUCCGGAUUUAUUGGGCGUAAAGGGCUCGUAGGUGGUUGAUCGCGUCGGAAGUGUAAUCUUGGGGCUUAACCCUGAGCGUGCUUUCGAUACGGGUUGACUUGAGGAAGGUAGGGGAGAAUGGAAUUCCUGGUGGAGCGGUGGAAUGCGCAGAUAUCAGGAGGAACACCAGUGGCGAAGGCGGUUCUCUGGGCCUUUCCUGACGCUGAGGAGCGAAAGCGUGGGGAGCGAACAGGCUUAGAUACCCUGGUAGUCCACGCUGUAAACGGUGGGUACUAGGUGUGGGGUCCAUUCCACGGGUUCCGUGCCGUAGCUAACGCUUUAAGUACCCCGCCUGGGGAGUACGGCCGCAAGGCUAAAACUCAAAGGAAUUGACGGGGCCCCGCACAAGCGGCGGAGCAUGCGGAUUAAUUCGAUGCAACGCGUAGAACCUUACCUGGGUUUGACAUGGAUCGGGAGUGCUCAGAGAUGGGUGUGCCUCUUUUGGGGUCGGUUCACAGGUGGUGCAUGCCUGUCGUCAGCUCGUGUCGUGAGAUGUUGGGUUAAGUCCCGCAACGAGCGCAACCCUUGUUCACUGUUGCCAGCACGUUAUGGUGGGGACUCAGUGGAGACCGCCGGGGUCAACUCGGAGGAAGGUGGGGAUGACGUCAAGUCCUCAUGCCCCUUAUGUCCAGGGCUUCACGCAUGCUACAAUGGCUGGUACAGAGAGUGGCGAGCCUGUGAGGGUGAGCGAAUCUCGGAAAGCCGGUCUCAGUUCGGAUUGGGGUCUGCAACUCGACCUCAUGAAGUCGGAGUCGCUAGUAAUCGCAGAUCAGCAACGCUGCGGUGAAUACGUUCCCGGG
This 1343-nucleotide ribosomal RNA is filed under the name uncultured bacterium. RNAcentral describes it as "16S ribosomal RNA". It matches the Rfam family "Bacterial small subunit ribosomal RNA", at positions 28 to 1378 of the family's 1533-position model. The record is from RNAcentral.